This 516-nucleotide long non-coding RNA is filed under the name Nothobranchius furzeri (turquoise killifish). RNAcentral's name for it is "lncRNA (ENSNFUG00015012402.1)". Lineage: Eukaryota; Metazoa; Chordata; Actinopteri; Cyprinodontiformes; Nothobranchiidae. The record is from RNAcentral.
GGUGUGUGAGGAGAACAUUUGAGGCUCUGCAGUAAAAACGUCUUCACUUCAGUCUCUGGGAGAGUUGAUCAGCUAAAGCGACUAACUGCUGCUGCUGCAGAAAUCUUCUCACCAGGCUGUGGAAACUUUCUUCUCCUCCUCAACAACUUGGUGGAGUUCUUUCCAGAAGCAGAGAAGAUAUUCUGCGGUCUUCGUGACAAUCGGAGCUCCAGAAGCAGCUGUUAGCUAAACACGGCUAAAGAAAACCUGCUACCACUUCAGGAUCAUCCAUCAGCAUGGACACAGGUACUGGUGGAUGAAUGAAUAUAUUGUCAGUCUAUUGUAACCCUGGCGUCAGAUUAAGUUACCACUUAUUCAAAAAAUAAUAAUAAAUAGGCCAGACUCUAGGUCCAACAGGAUUACCUUACAAAUUACCAGUGAGUGGGAAAUGGAAUAGCUGGAUCCAAAGAAUGAGCAAAAGAACACAGUUGCACCAGAUUUGUAAUUUUAUAUAGAAAUAUGAAAAUAGAACAAAAA